Molecule: ribosomal RNA, 253 nt
Filed under: uncultured bacterium
Lineage: Bacteria
Description: partial 16S ribosomal RNA
Rfam family: Bacterial small subunit ribosomal RNA
Source: RNAcentral
UACGGAGGGGGCGAGCGUUAUUCGGAAUUAUUGGGCGUAAAGGGCGCGUAGGCGGCCCGGUAAGUCAAAGGUGAAAUCCCUCGGCUCAACUGAGGAACUGCCUUUGAAACUGUCGGGCUUGAGGCCGGGAGGGGGUAGCGGAAUUCCCAGUGCAGCGGUGAAAUGCGUAGAUACUGGGAGGAACACCAGUGGCGAAGGCGGCUACCUGGACCGGUUCUGACGCUGAUGCGCGAAAGCGUGGGUAGCAAACAGG